GUUUUAAUAGUAUACACUCCUGUAGUUGAGUAUAGCCAUACUAGUUUGUCUUUUCCAUUGCAGAUGCUGAGUGGAAUACUGGUGAUACGCUUGCAAUCUUCUUCACUAAACAUUGCUUUUAUUUUAUCCACAUUCCACUUUCCAGUUUGUAUUAAUUCAUAUACCAUCUAAGUUGACAAUUUGGUGGCUUUGAAGUAAAUACCUUCCCUUUUCCUCUAUCCAUUAUCCAUUUGUCCCUCCAAAUAUCGAUAGUACGUCCAUCUCCCACCCUUUUUCUAGCACCCCUUUCAAGCAAAUCUCUGGUUCUAAAACCUAAUCCC
This 320-nucleotide long non-coding RNA is filed under the name Coffea arabica (coffee). RNAcentral describes it as "long non-coding RNA (CARA_LNC004650)". Lineage: Eukaryota; Viridiplantae; Streptophyta; Magnoliopsida; Gentianales; Rubiaceae. The record is from RNAcentral.